UUUUUGUGGACGAAGGGUCUCGCGGGAGCAGAUAUUGGUAUCCCGUGCCCGUUCCGCGCGGCUUGCCUAAAAACGGAGAUCCGGCGGCGAAACGUCACGUCUAGUGGUGGUUGAUGAGGCCUAACGGCCGACCAGUUCGCGGCGUGAUCGUUUGUCGCACGGAAGUCUCGGACGACACCUUGGACGCCCUCUAACGGGCGUGCUACUGUU
This 210-nucleotide ribosomal RNA is filed under the name Saxifraga oppositifolia. RNAcentral's name for it is "partial ribosomal RNA". Lineage: Eukaryota; Viridiplantae; Streptophyta; Magnoliopsida; Saxifragales; Saxifragaceae. The record is from RNAcentral.